This 464-nucleotide ribosomal RNA is filed under the name Vreelandella stevensii. RNAcentral's name for it is "partial 16S ribosomal RNA". It matches the Rfam family "Bacterial small subunit ribosomal RNA", at positions 338 to 795 of the family's 1533-position model. Lineage: Bacteria; Pseudomonadati; Pseudomonadota; Gammaproteobacteria; Oceanospirillales; Halomonadaceae. The record is from RNAcentral.
CCUACGGGCGGCAGCAGUGGGGAAUAUUGGACAAUGGGCGAAAGCCUGAUCCAGCCAUGCCGCGUGUGUGAAGAAGGCCUUCGGGUUGUAAAGCACUUUCAGUGGGGAAGAAAGCCUUGGGGCUAAUACCCUCGAGGAAGGACAUCACCCACAGAAGAAGCACCGGCUAACUCCGUGCCAGCAGCCGCGGUAAUACGGAGGGUGCGAGCGUUAAUCGGAAUUACUGGGCGUAAAGCGCGCGUAGGCGGUCUGAUAAGCCGGUUGUGAAAGCCCCGGGCUCAACCUGGGAACGGCAUCCGGAACUGUCAGGCUAGAGUGCAGGAGAGGAAGGUAGAAUUCCCGGUGUAGCGGUGAAAUGCGUAGAGAUCGGGAGGAAUACCAGUGGCGAAGGCGGCCUUCUGGACUGACACUGACGCUGAGGUGCGAAAGCGUGGGUAGCAAACAGGAUUAGAACCCGAGUAGUC